CAGACAUAGAAAACCAAAAUAUCUCUUCUCCAUUAACUUUAAAUCUCUUAAUAGUAUUGUCCACAGGGGACCUAAAAUCUACACAAAGAAUUGAUUGGUAGGUAUUGCUGAUCAUUUUUAUAAAGGUCUUGCUGACCCUAACUGAUGGAAAUGCUCAUCACUCCAUCACCAGGUAAGACAUAAUGACUCUUCUUUGUGGACU
This is a non-coding RNA of Pelobates cultripes (western spadefoot toad), 202 nucleotides long. The record is from the annotation of a GenBank genome assembly. Lineage: Eukaryota; Metazoa; Chordata; Amphibia; Anura; Pelobatidae.